This is a small nucleolar RNA of Cynara cardunculus var. scolymus (artichoke), 80 nucleotides long. RefSeq annotates it as small nucleolar RNA U31b. The transcript has a single exon. Lineage: Eukaryota; Viridiplantae; Streptophyta; Magnoliopsida; Asterales; Asteraceae. The record is from RefSeq and is a predicted model, not a curated record.
UAAAAUGAUGAGAGGUAUUGUCGCCCCAGUCUAAUGAGCUUCAAAGCUCGAUGGUGAUGGACACAUUCAAAAUUUGAUUC